This 253-nucleotide ribosomal RNA is filed under the name uncultured bacterium. RNAcentral's name for it is "partial 16S ribosomal RNA". It matches the Rfam family "Bacterial small subunit ribosomal RNA", at positions 524 to 776 of the family's 1533-position model. The record is from RNAcentral.
UACAGAGGGUGCGAGCGUUGUUCGGAAUUAUUGGGCGUAAAGAGCUCGUAGGCGGACUGUCACGUCUGCUGUGAAAAGCUGGGGCUUAACCCUGGCCUUGCAGUGGAUACGGGCAGACUAGAGGUAGGUAGGGGAGAAUGGAAUUCCCGGUGUAGCGGUGAAAUGCGCAGAUAUCGGGAGGAACACCGGUGGCGAAGGCGGUUCUCUGGGCCUUACCUGACGCUGAGGAGCGAAAGCGUGGGGAGCGAACAGG